GAAUAAUUGAAUUUGCUUACUUAUGACAUCCAGAGCCGCCUGUGGCCUGGAACAGGAGGUGGAGAUGUUCAUGGACAGGGGCACUGCAGGUUGCCCGGGGCCUCUUCAGUCGUCUUCAUCAGAGUGAGAGCUUAGGAGGCAGAGCUCAAGGGCCAGAUGUCCCAGCGGUCCUGUCACCUGCACCUGUCCUCGUGGCCACGACCUGGAACACUCAAACAGGAGAUUCCGAGAGACAACAGUUCGGAUCAGGGCCUUCCGG
This 259-nucleotide long non-coding RNA is filed under the name Chinchilla lanigera (long-tailed chinchilla). RNAcentral's name for it is "lncRNA (ENSCLAG00000028229.1)". Lineage: Eukaryota; Metazoa; Chordata; Mammalia; Rodentia; Chinchillidae. The record is from RNAcentral.